GAGACAGCAGUAGCCACGGUAAUACGUAGGUCCCGAGCGUUGUCCGGAUUUAUUGGGCGUAAAGCGAGCGCAGGCGGUUAGAUAAGUCUGAAGUUAAAGGCUGUGGCUUAACCAUAGUACGCUUUGGAAACUGUUUAACUUGAGUGCAAGAGGGGAGAGUGGAAUUCCAUGUGUAGCGGUGAAAUGCGUAGAUAUAUGGAGGAACACCGGUGGCGAAAGCGGCUCUCUGGCUUGUAACUGACGCUGAGGCUCGAAAGCGUGGGGAGCAAACAGGAUUAGAUACCCCCGUAGUCCCUGUCUCUUAUACC
This 308-nucleotide ribosomal RNA is filed under the name uncultured bacterium. Its description in RNAcentral is "partial 16S ribosomal RNA". It matches the Rfam family "Bacterial small subunit ribosomal RNA", at positions 505 to 808 of the family's 1533-position model. The record is from RNAcentral.